RNAcentral lists this ribosomal RNA (253 nucleotides) under uncultured bacterium. RNAcentral describes it as "partial 16S ribosomal RNA". It matches the Rfam family "Bacterial small subunit ribosomal RNA", at positions 524 to 776 of the family's 1533-position model. The record is from RNAcentral.
UACAGAGGGGGCGAGCGUUGUUCGGAAUUACUGGGCGUAAAGGGCGCGUAGGCGGCCCGCUAAGUCGAACGUGAAAUCCCCAGGCUCAACCUGGGAACUGCGUCCGAUACUGGCAGGCUUGAAUCCGGGAGAGGGAUGCGGAAUUCCAGGUGUAGCGGUGAAAUGCGUAGAUAUCUGGAGGAACGCCGGUGGCGAAGGCGGCAUCCUGGACCGGCAUUGACGCUGAGGAGCGAAAGCCAGGGGAGCAAACGGG